RNAcentral lists this ribosomal RNA (720 nucleotides) under Morganella morganii. RNAcentral's name for it is "bacterial SSU rRNA". It matches the Rfam family "Bacterial small subunit ribosomal RNA", at positions 740 to 1461 of the family's 1533-position model. Lineage: Bacteria; Pseudomonadati; Pseudomonadota; Gammaproteobacteria; Enterobacterales; Morganellaceae. The record is from RNAcentral.
ACUACCCUCAGGUGCGAAAGCGUGGGGAGCCAACCAGAUUAGAUUACCUGGUAGUUCCCCCCGUUAACGAAGUUGAAUUGGAAGUUGUGUCCUUGAGGCGUGGCUUUCGGAACUUACGCGUUAAGUCGACCCCCUGGGGAGUUCGGCCCCAAGGUUAAAACUCAAAUGGAAUGACGGGGGGCCGCCCCAACGGUGGGGCAUGUGGUUUAAAUUGAUGCAACGCGAAGAACCUUACCUUCUCUUGACAUUCCAAGUACUUAACAGAGAUGCUUUGGUUCCUUCGGGAAAUUUGAAACAGGUGCCGCAUGGCCGUUGUCAACUCGUGUUUUGAAAUGUUGGGUUUAGUUCCGCAACGAGCGCCAACCUUAUCCUUUGUUGCCAGCGAGUAAGGUCGGGAACUCAAAGGAGACUGCCGGUGAUAAACCGGAGGAAGGUGGGGAUGACGUCAAGUCAUCAUGGCCCUUACGAGUAGGGCUACACACGUGCUACAAUGGCGUAUACAAAGGGAAGCGACCCCGCGAGGGCAAGCGGAACUCAUAAAGUACGUCGUAGUCCGGAUUGGAGUCUGCAACUCGACUCCAUGAAGUCGGAAUCGCUAGUAAUCGUAGAUCAGAAUGCUACGGUGAAUACGUUCCCGGUCCUUGUACACACCGCCCGUCACACCAUGGGAGUGGGUUGCAAAAGAAGUAGGUAGCUUAACCUCGGGAGGGCGCUACCACU